Molecule: microRNA, 22 nt
Filed under: Monodelphis domestica (gray short-tailed opossum)
Lineage: Eukaryota; Metazoa; Chordata; Mammalia; Didelphimorphia; Didelphidae
Description: mdo-miR-12311-3p
Source: miRBase by way of RNAcentral
CCGCUUCUGUCCUUUUCUCCCC